GGGAUUGUGGCUCAGCAGUAGAGUGCUCACUUUGAAUGUGUGAGGCCCUGGGUUCAAUCCUUAGCACCA
This 69-nucleotide transfer RNA is filed under the name Ictidomys tridecemlineatus (thirteen-lined ground squirrel). Its description in RNAcentral is "Spermophilus tridecemlineatus (thirteen-lined ground squirrel) tRNA". It matches the Rfam family "tRNA". From Rfam's summary of the family: Transfer RNA (tRNA) molecules are approximately 80 nucleotides in length. Their secondary structure includes four short double-helical elements and three loops (D, anti-codon, and T loops). Lineage: Eukaryota; Metazoa; Chordata; Mammalia; Rodentia; Sciuridae. The record is from Rfam by way of RNAcentral.